UGGGGAAUAUUGCACAAUGGGCGAAAGCCUGAUGCAGCGACGCCGCGUGAGUGAAGAAGUAUUUCGGUAUGUAAAGCUCUAUCAGCAGGGAAGAUAAUGACAGUACCUGACUAAGAAGCCCCGGCUAACUACGUGCCAGCAGCGCGGUAAUACGUAGGGGGCAAGCGUUAUCCGGAUUUACUGGGUGUAAAGGGAGCGUAGGUGGCUAGGUAAGUCAGGUGUGAAAGCCCGGGGCUCAACCCCGGGAUUGCACUUGAAACUACUUAGCUAGAGUGCAGGAGAGGUAAGUGGAAUUCCUAGUGUAGCGGUGAAAUGCGUAGAUAUUAGGAGGAACACCAGUGGCGAAGGCGGCUUACUGGACUUUAACUGACACUGAGGCUCGAAAGCGUGGGGAGCAAACA
Molecule: ribosomal RNA, 401 nt
Filed under: uncultured bacterium
Lineage: Bacteria
Description: bacterial SSU rRNA
Rfam family: Bacterial small subunit ribosomal RNA
Source: RNAcentral